Molecule: long non-coding RNA, 882 nt
Filed under: Prunus dulcis (almond)
Lineage: Eukaryota; Viridiplantae; Streptophyta; Magnoliopsida; Rosales; Rosaceae
Description: sRNA ncRNA
Source: RNAcentral
UGGCUGUGCCGCUUCUUCUUCUUCUUCUUGGCGCUUCAGCUUCCCAUCCAAACUCUAAAUCUUCUGUUUUUGUUUUUGAAUUUUAUCUUUUUUCUAAGCAAGUUCAGCUUCUUGACUGGGUGUUGAUUCAAACGACCCAGCCAAAUGAAUUACAAAUCUUGCAAAAUUCAAUUCGUCGGUAGCACUCGCCUGAAUUUGACCUCCUCCUGAUCCUUCAGGCCCUUUUACUACCGGCACAUCUUUUUCCUCUAAUUUCUUGUCCCCUUUUGGUUUUUGUUUACGAUAGUUUUUGCAAAAUAGAAUAUUGUUUAGCUAGGGUUAAGCAAACGCACUCUGUCCCAAAUCUUUCGAUGUUUUGAGGCAAUUUCUUCGUUUGCAAUAUUGAUGGAAUUCUAGUUUACUAGAAUGUCCAGCUACUCGCCCAUCUGAUCUUUUCAUUUUGAUUGGUCUUAUGGGCACAUGGUUGGAUUACAUUCUGAAUUUUUCCAUGCCAUUGCAACCUAUUUCCAGCUUUUGGGUCUUUCUUUUUUCAAGUUUUCAGAUCCAAUGGUGCAAAUACUGGGUGCUUUUCUAAAUUGUUCUUGUUUAGAGCUAGCGAACCCAAUGUUGAAGUUGUAGCUUUUCAUACCCAAAUGAAGGGACUGAAUUGCAACCAUUUUGGGAUGAAGCAUUUGACAGUUUUUGAAUUGAAGUCGUGAAAACAUAAAACAAGCACAAUAAAACAGCAAAGCAAAUUACCAAGAGACAUCUUAAUCUUCAAAUAGAUUACACAAUCAGAGUGAAUGGGAAGAGCUCCAGAUUACUUCAGUCCUUGUAAUUUGCUUGUUUUACCACUGGAGUCCAUGUAGGAUGAAACCCUAAUCCCCAAAAUUGUGCCUACAG